GACAAUCAAAUUAUGAUGCAAGGCCAUCUACUCGGAAUGAGUACUUCCGCUCUCAGAUCAGUAGCAGAGCCAGCAUAGAUCCAAAAAACACGAAAUAUUGAAUGAAAUAUGAAUAAAAACCUAAAUCUAACAAAAUAAUUGAAAGAUAAAAGAAAAGAUGAUGAAAAAUCCAAAAGCACAAAAUAUUGAAUGAAAUAAGAAUAAAAGCUAGAUCUAACAAGAAAACUGAAAAAUGAAAGAAAAUAUGAUGAAAAAUAUCUGAUCAAGCCAGUUGGCCCAACAAACCCUAUGCUUCGUGCCUCGCUCGUAUCAGGACCGGCUGAGUUUAUGACGCAUGUCCUCUUUGUCUCUCUUCAGAUUUUGACCGGCCCUUGGCUUAGUUGGAUGGUUUUUUUAACCUAAUGGCUGCCAGUUUAAUGGCCUAAAGCUAAGGCUUUCUUAAAUCUGAGGUUUGCUCACAUGGUGGGCUCUCUCUAU
This 477-nucleotide long non-coding RNA is filed under the name Amborella trichopoda. Its description in RNAcentral is "long non-coding RNA (ATRI_LNC002895)". Lineage: Eukaryota; Viridiplantae; Streptophyta; Magnoliopsida; Amborellales; Amborellaceae. The record is from RNAcentral.